AUUCCAGCUCCAAUAGCGUAUAUUAAAGUUGUUGCGGUUAAAAAGCUCGUAGUUGGAUUUCUGCUGAGGACGACCGGUCCGCCCUCCGGGUGAGCAUCUGGUUCGGCCUUGGCAUCUUCUUGGUGAACGUAUCUGCACUUGACUGUGUGGUGCGGUACCCAGGACUUUUACUUUGAGGAAAUUAGAGUGUUUCAAGCAGGCAUACGCCUUGAAUACAUUAGCAUGGAAUAAUAAGAUAGGACCUCGGUUCUAUUUUGUUGGUUUGCGCACCAAAGUAAUGAUUAAUAGGGACAGUUGGGGGUAUUCGUAUUCCGUUGUCAGAGGUGAAAUUCUUGGAUUUACGGGAGACGAACUACUGCGAAAGCAUUUACCAAGGAUGUUUUCAUUG
This 388-nucleotide ribosomal RNA is filed under the name Gyrodinium sp. RNAcentral describes it as "partial small subunit ribosomal RNA". It matches the Rfam family "Eukaryotic small subunit ribosomal RNA", at positions 582 to 975 of the family's 1831-position model. The record is from RNAcentral. Lineage: Eukaryota; Dinophyceae; Gymnodiniales; Gymnodiniaceae.